AAAUGCAUUUACUGAAUUUUUUUUUUCAACGAGGGAUAGAUGAUUUGAAUACUAAACCAACAGAAACGAUAACCACUAAACCAACAAGGGUUUAGUAUUUAAUUUCCGUAAGGAUUAAUAUUUAAUUUUCUCUGUUGGGGUGACUUUGCUUUUGGUUGACUGAACAGCUUAUCGCUUGCCUUCAAGGGCCCAAAAUCCAAAUGGUCAUUUCUAAAGUCCCUCCUUUCUUAUCUGCCAUAACCAGAAGUUUAGAACCUAAGUUGUCUAAUUAAUCUGUCCUCUUCCAUAAUUUUGAUAAAUUCCUAUUGGAUUGAAUACCUUUUCC
RNAcentral lists this long non-coding RNA (325 nucleotides) under Prunus persica (peach). Its description in RNAcentral is "long non-coding RNA (PPER_LNC002161)". Lineage: Eukaryota; Viridiplantae; Streptophyta; Magnoliopsida; Rosales; Rosaceae. The record is from RNAcentral.